GGCCUUUCCAAGAGCGCGCCACCAAACACGCCUAUUUACGUGUGUGCACGUAAUGCCACGAACUGAAGUCGCUGGAGUGAGAUCGCACGAGCAGCAGUAUAAAAUUCAUAGCCACGACCACUCUGUCAAGAGUGAACGAUUGAGAUUAAGAAGAAUGAUUUAUCUGUAAUAUAAAAAUAAAAACUAAAAGU
Long non-coding RNA from Maniola jurtina (meadow brown), 191 nucleotides. RefSeq lists it as uncharacterized. Lineage: Eukaryota; Metazoa; Arthropoda; Insecta; Lepidoptera; Nymphalidae. The transcript has 4 exons. The record is from RefSeq and is a predicted model, not a curated record.